RNAcentral lists this ribosomal RNA (383 nucleotides) under uncultured eukaryote. RNAcentral's name for it is "partial 18S ribosomal RNA". It matches the Rfam family "Eukaryotic small subunit ribosomal RNA", at positions 592 to 976 of the family's 1831-position model. The record is from RNAcentral.
CAAUAGCGUAUAUUAAAGUUGUUGCAGUUAAAAAGUUCGUAGUUGGAUUUCUGGUAGGAGCGACCGUGCCGAACUUGAUUGUUCGAGUAUUGUGUUGUCUUCAGCCAUCCUCGUGGAGAACUUUUCUAACAUUAACUUGUUGGGAUUGGGACCCGCGUCGUUUACUGUGAAAAAAUUAGAGUGUUUAAAGCAGGCAUUAGCUUGAAUACAUUAGCAUGGAAUAAUAAGAUAGGACUUUGGUACUAUUUUGUUGGUUUGCAUACCAAAUUAAUGAUCAACAGGAACAGUUUGAGGAUAUUCGUAUGAACAUGUCAGAGGUGAAAUUCUUGGAUUUUGAUCAGACGAACUACUGCGAAAGCAUUUAUCAAGGAUGUUUUCAUUAA